This 549-nucleotide long non-coding RNA is filed under the name Struthio camelus australis. RNAcentral describes it as "lncRNA (ENSSCUG00000007971.1)". The record is from RNAcentral. Lineage: Eukaryota; Metazoa; Chordata; Aves; Struthioniformes; Struthionidae.
AGGGUGCAUUAUAGAGCACUCGUGUCCUGCGUUUUAGACCUUGACAAAAUUACUGUGAAUGACAUUAUCCUUCUGAACACUUCCAGGUGGAGUGCCCUGAAGCCUGAAUGCAGUCAGUCAGCUCUAGAGGGGAAUGCCACCUGCAGAAAGGAUGAGAACCAUCUGCAUCAUGGGGCCUGGGGGCCAUGGACCACUGUCUGAGUGAUGAGAGCAAUUCACAUCUGCCAAAAGCAAAUGAUGUGUUGGCUUACUGUAAAUUCCUUGUCAAGUCCAGAAUACGCUUUUCAAGUGCGACUACUUUACUACUGAUCAAUGACGAAGCGGACAAGAUGAAUUUCAUAUUCAUUCUCCAUUGUUGCAAAUCAUUUUAAUUACUUCUGCAAAGGGUAAUUGGCACAACCAGCAGAGGUUAACAGAUCAUCUGAGAGCAUUUAUUUUGCCCAUUUAUCCACUUUUGAAGUGCCAAUAUUAAAAUAUUUUAUUUUUUGUUACAAUAUUUUAUAUAUACAUUACAAUAAAUAUAAGUGUUUUCUAGAGGAACUUGUGACC